Molecule: ribosomal RNA, 327 nt
Filed under: uncultured eukaryote
Lineage: Eukaryota
Description: partial 18S ribosomal RNA
Rfam family: Eukaryotic small subunit ribosomal RNA
Source: RNAcentral
CCCUUAGAUGUUCUGGGCCGCACGCGCGCUACACUGACGAAUGCAACGAGCUUAUAACCUUGGCCGAAAGGUCUGGGUAAUCUCCAAAUUUCGUCGUGAUGGGGAUAGAUUAUCGCAAUUAUUAAUCUUCAACGAGGAAUGCCUAGUAAGCGCAAGUCAUCAGCUUGCGUUGAUUACGUCCCUGCCCUUUGUACACACCGCCCGUCGCUCCUACCGAUUGAAUGGUCCGGUGAAGCGUUCGGACCGUGGCCUUUGGACGGUUCGCCGUCUGUUGGCUGCGGGAAGUUCGUUAAACCUUAUCAUUUAGAGGAAGGAGAANUCGUAACA